This is a long non-coding RNA of Hylaeus anthracinus, 3221 nucleotides long. RefSeq lists it as uncharacterized. The record is from RefSeq and is a predicted model, not a curated record. NCBI's taxonomy places the organism in Eukaryota, Metazoa, Arthropoda, Insecta, Hymenoptera, Colletidae. The transcript is spliced from 2 exons.
CACACCAUCGCUAAAUUUUCUGAACUUGACGAUGUCUGGAAAGAAAUAACUACUCGCAUCAAAUUCAAUUUGGUAGAAUUUGUGUAUAUUUAACUAGCGAGUAAUCACAGGUACACAAAGUCUCAUCCAAAAGUGAGCGCAUCAGAUUCAAAGGUUCCGUUGGAAGUGUUAUGAAGGCUGCCCCCUCCCCCCCCCAGGAAUCAGGUUCAAUCGCGAUAAUGCAGCCGCGAGAUCCACGCGGGGAACAGAAACGUCGUGUCACGUAUAGGCCAGUGUCCGUGGCUCAGUGACAUUCAAUCGGACAUCACGGUUGGGAUCGUUGGUCGGAAGAACAAAUAGCGUCAUGUUCUCUUUGGAUGGUGAAUGACGCAACAACGAAGAUACGGUAGGGAACAUCUUGUUCAUUCUCACGGUUCAACGAUUUACCGGACUUUCAAGAUGAUUACGGUAGUCAUUAAAUUGCCAGUUGGCAUUUGAUGCGACGCGCAAUUUAUGGUUAAUCCUUUGGGCGAACCGCGAUGAGUAUUAUAAUGACGUACUUUCACUCACGGCUAAGACUCGACAUGACUCGAUAUGAUCCCGACGAUCGUUGUCGUCCGUGUCGAAUGUUUACUUUCAAGGAUUGUCUAUCUCGUCGCGAUUGAUUCCGCUGUUGGCGACCUUUCAACUUUGUAAUCGUGCUCAAUCGACGGAACAGCAAAGAAAUUUCACCGAGAUAAGUGUCCGUCUAGUUGAGAUAGGCGGUAUACGAUGGGGAGAAACAAUAGGGGGCUUAUAGUAGAGGCUCGAGACUCUCCUUGUCGAAAGGUGCCCUUACUAAAAGAAAAAGAAAAUCUCUGCCUUCUAGAUAAGUGACACGCUAAAACUGAUACGAGGUAACUGUACUCCUGUACUUGUUGAACUGCGAUGGUAAGCAGGAUCAACACGUCCGGAGGAUAUUUCGGAAAAUAACAAGACUCGUUCUCAUUAUUGUUAGAGACUCGCUUCGUGCCUGGAUUCAUGGUCUAAUUAACUCUUAGGAGCCUGAUGAUCCAAAAUUAAAUUUAAAAAUACAGUGGAUGUAGAAUGUAUUCGUACAUCGAUUAAUUUCCAAAAAAACUAUGUCAAAUUGUAAUUUAUUAACUUAUUUUUUAUAAACAACGACAUUCUACAUAUUCUCGGAAAUCGCUAGAAUAGAUAGAGUACAAAAAAAAAAAUAGCUAUUUAUGUAAAUUGCGAAAUUAACAAGAAAAAAACUAUUAAUCGAUAGAAAUGUCGAAGCAAUAAGUAUUCGCACAACUGUUUAAUUUUUAAAACUUCAUGUCCCUUGGUAAUAUAUACUUUAUUUAAAAAAGAAUAUUGUUUCGACAUGGAAUAAGAAUAUGAGUAUUCCACACGUGUGAAAUAGCAGGGCGCAGGUAGUAAGUAAUAUAUAUACAAUAUUUUAUGUUUUAUCCGACAUUAUCGCGUCGAAUACGAUCUAUUUUACUCCAUUACUGUUACAACAUCUACUUCUAAGAGAUACGAUUGCCAUUUUAUAUAAACACUGAGUUUUACAGCUGACCGCAAGUCGCGAAAGAAACUUUCGGGCCAGCCCGAUACCAACGUAGGCUAUUAAAAAAAAAAAAAAAAAGAAAAAAAAUAUUUUAGAGCCUUUCUUGGAAACUCCAGAAUAUUUUCGUGGAUGAGUGCGAUCGGGGCCCAUCUGGAAUUUCCAGUAAUCGGUCCCAAAGCCCUCGCCGAUGGAGAAGGGAAGCUUGCCGCACCGGGACCUGGCGGAUAGCGAUGACGAAACAAUAGCCGGCAGAUAGCGAAACAAAACUUGGCGUCUUAACGAGCGCGUACUCGCAUACGUAUACCGCCUUCCUCUUUUGUAAUGCUAAUUCAAAGGAGGCAAUUAUUUCAGGAGUAACCGGUAACCUUCUGGUUUCUCGAACGACACCGACCGUCCGACUGUUGUCGUCCUUAGUAACCGAAGGAUACGCGUGAAAGUCGGUCGCAAAAUUCUCGGGCGACGAUCCCGCGGAUACCCGAGAAAAUUUAACGAACACGAAACGGAAAGAAACGCCUCCCGAAGCGACGGUGGUUACAACAGCUCGUCCAAUUACUCUCAGAUGUUGUUUGCCAGGCGCAUCUCGUUGCCUCAGCUACGAACCAAGGCUAGGAUUACUCGAAUAAUUUAUUAUUCGAACGCAUCGCGAGCACUCGAGCAAUACAAAUGAGCCUCGAACAUUUUAACAUCGCCGUUCGAAUAGGGUAAAUUAACUCCAUAUACUAUUGGGUUGUCCGGAAAAGUCCAUGUUGAUUUUUGGUAGGUGAUACAGGUCUGAAUAUAUCGAAGUGGUUGAAAACAAAUAACAUCCAUACAUCCCUUGAAAGGUGGAAAGGUUGUGGAACAAAAUGGCACCUAUGUAAUUCAAUAAAUAUAUAUUAAAAUUCAAACGUGUUUUUGAAUGUUUCUUAAAAAUUGCCACGAACUUUCUGGACAACCUAAUAUUUUAAACCUCUAUUGGUGGAGUUUGUCUCCAGACUACUCGUAAGGCAUUUACUUUGAUAUCGAGGACGAUGGCGAUGCCAAGCGCCAAGAAGUCAUUGUGAAUAUUGUUAUUGGAGACAUUGUAUAAUUGAGACGGGGACGUUAUCUUGUGAGAAAACUAGGAUUAUUUGAUAAAGCGUCGAUAUAUUAGCGUGUAGCCUGAAAGGUACAAGGACCCAUAGAGGGUUAAUGUCAGUAUUCAAAGAGCAAUCAACAUUAGGUGCAGAAACGAAUUCCGUGCUUUUGUUUUCAGUCAUUUGGAACUUUGAUUUCAGUAGGAAUAUUUAAUAUAUAUUGUUAUUAUAAUGUAUUAAAUUAUCAACCUUCUGGGUUCUCGACCUGGUCUGCAUUACAAUUACAUAUAUUAUGUAACCCAAAUCCUAAUCUGAUGACCACUACAACGUGUGUAUGUGUAUAUACAAUAUACACAAGUGUGCUUCAUAAUUACAGUAAUUGUAGAGAAAUACAAAUAAGGAAAAUCUGAUGGUUACUAAAGCUCGUUUAGAUACAUUGCAAUGACCAUCAGGUUGAGACUUGAACGUUCGUACUUUAAUGUAUAAAAAUGAUUGAAUCUGUUUAACUAGGCCUGCUUAAACUAGAAUUAUAAAUAAUUGAAUAAAGAGCCACAGAAUUAAUUUCUACACCUAAUAUGAUAUUUAUAAACUUGACAAGCACUCGAAUGCUGCUAAUAAACUUCGAAUACUAU